Micropterus salmoides (largemouth bass) is the source of this 380-nucleotide long non-coding RNA. RefSeq lists it as uncharacterized. The record is from RefSeq and is a predicted model, not a curated record. Lineage: Eukaryota; Metazoa; Chordata; Actinopteri; Centrarchiformes; Centrarchidae. The transcript has 3 exons.
UCUGAUUCUGGGGCUUAUUCCUUAUCGAUUGUAGAUUCGGAAUCCUUGCACAUGAGCGGAGGACCCUCACCAGAAAGACGUAUUUCUAAUACUGAUUACGUCCUCUGUCCUAGAUGCUACACGUAUGAUUCUCCUGUGAUUACCUACCGUAUCGGAUGGUUCGCAAUUUCUUUCGUUGGAUUGCUGUCACUUGCAGGGUGUAUUCUAGGGUGCUGCUUGUGUCCCCUCGUACUGAAGAGCUGCAAGGAUGAAGUUCACUGCUGUUCUAACUGUAAUAUGCGCCUUGUUGUAACCUAACAGUAAAUGUCAACCGUAUGUUUUACUUGGUGCAUGUGGUGUAACCUGCCUGAUUCACAAUAAAGAAAGUCAUGUAUACAUGA